UGUUAGCAUAAGUCAAAGAGGUUUUCUUUUCUGUUCUACAGUAAUUUGAAGAUGUUAGAUUUUAAUAUAUUUCAGCAUAUGUUUUUCAUCAAAUGAAAUAAAAAGUUUUUCCUUUUUAUUAUCUAUUACAAGUCAAACUCUUUUAUAAAAAAAAAUACUUUAAAUUCAAGAAAUCAAGGAAAUUGAUUACCUUCUAGAUUAUUAAACCGCAAAUAUAAUUCCAGGAGUCGUGUUAGAUUUCCAAUACUUCUUGGAAUGAUCCCCGUCAAUUGAUUCAAGGACAAGGACAAAUUUUUAAGGUUGCUGCAUUUUCCCAUACUUGACGGAAUGUUACCAGAUAACUCGUUGCUAUGCAAGUAAAGCACUUCAAGCUUGGGAAGAUGUUGACACAUAUCAUUAGGCAAACUACCUGAUAGGCUAUUGUUGGAGAGAACAAUGGUCUUCAGAGCAGAAAUGUUGAAGAUCGAAGUUGGAAUCUGACCUGUAAGGCCUUUAAUUGCUUGAAUAUUAAGCAUUUCCAAACCAAGAAGAUUACCGAUUUCCUCAGGAAUUUGACCUGCACACAUGGUCGAAAAAUCAAGGUGUCAAACUACCUAUUUUGUUAGCAUAAGUCAAAGAGGUUUUCUUUUCUGUUCUACAGUAAUUUGAAGAUGUUAGAUUUUAAUAUAUUUCAGCAUAUGUUUUUCAUCAAAUGAAAUAAAAAGUUUUUCCUUUUUAUUAUCUAUUACAAGUCAAACUCUUUUAUAAAAAAAAUACUUUAAAUUCAAGAAAUCAAGGAAAUUGAUUACCUUCUAGAUUAUUAAACCCCAAAUAUAAUUCCAGGAGUCGUGUUAGAUUUCCAAUACUUCUUGGAAUGAUCCCCGUCAAUUGAUUCAAGGACAAGGACAAAUUUUUAAGGUUGCUGCAUUUUCCCAUACUUGACGGAAUGUUACUAGAUAACUCGUUGCUAUGCAAGUAAAGCACUUCAAGCUUGGGAAGAUGUUGACACAUAUCAUUAGGCAAACUAUCUGAUAGGCUAUUGUUGGAGAGAACAAUGGUCUUCAGAGCAGAAAUGUUGAAGAUCGAAGUUGGAAUCUGACCUGUAAGGCCUUUAAUUGCUUGAAUAUUAAGCAUUUCCAAACCAAGAAGAUUACCGAUUUCCUCAGGAAUUUGACCUGCACACAUGGUCGAAAAAUCAAGGUGUCAAACUACCUAUUUUGUUAGCAUAAGUCAAAGAGGUUUUCUUUUCUGUUCUACAGUAAUUUGAAGAUGUUAGAUUUUAAUAUAUU
Molecule: long non-coding RNA, 1268 nt
Filed under: Gossypium barbadense (sea-island cotton)
Lineage: Eukaryota; Viridiplantae; Streptophyta; Magnoliopsida; Malvales; Malvaceae
Description: long non-coding RNA (GBAR_LNC016648)
Source: RNAcentral